GAUGAACGCUGGCGGCGUGCCUAAUACAUGCAAGUCGAGCGAACGGACGAGAAGCUUGCUUCUCUGAUGUUAGCGGCGGACGGGUGAGUAACACGUGGAUAACCUACCUAUAAGACUGGGAUAACUUCGGGAAACCGGAGCUAAUACCGGAUGAUCUUUUGAACCGCAUGGUUCAAAAGUGAAAGACGGUCUUGCUGUCACUUAUAGAUGGAUCCGCGCUGCAUUAGCUAGUUGGUAAGGUAACGGCUUACCAAGGCAACGAUGCAUAGCCGACCUGAGAGGGUGAUCGGCCACACGGGAACUGAGACACGGUCCAGACUCCUACGGGAGGCAGCAGUAGGGAAUCUUCCGCAAUGGGCGAAAGCCUGACGGAGCAACGCCGCGUGAGUGAUGAAGGUCUUCGGAUCGUAAAACUCUGUUAUUAGGGAAGAACAUAUGUGUAAGUAACUGUGCACAUCUUGACGGUACCUAAUCAGAAAGCCACGGCUAACUACGUG
RNAcentral lists this ribosomal RNA (497 nucleotides) under uncultured bacterium. Its description in RNAcentral is "partial 16S ribosomal RNA". It matches the Rfam family "Bacterial small subunit ribosomal RNA", at positions 28 to 507 of the family's 1533-position model. The record is from RNAcentral.